GUCCACGCCGUAAACGGUGGGCACUAGGUGUGGGGACCAUUCCACGGUCUCUGCGCCGCAGCUAACGCAUUAAGUGCCCCGCCUGGGGAGUACGGCCGCAAGGCUAAAACUCAAAGGAAUUGACGGGGGCCCCGCACAAGCGGCGGAGCAUGCGGCUUAAUUCGAUGCAACGCGAAGAACCUUACCUAGGCUUGACAUGCAGGGAAAACUGGCAGAGAUGCCAGGUCCUUACGGGCUUUGCACAGGUGGUGCAUGGCUGUCGU
Molecule: ribosomal RNA, 263 nt
Filed under: uncultured bacterium
Lineage: Bacteria
Description: partial 16S ribosomal RNA
Rfam family: Bacterial small subunit ribosomal RNA
Source: RNAcentral